RNAcentral lists this ribosomal RNA (465 nucleotides) under uncultured Klebsiella sp. RNAcentral's name for it is "bacterial SSU rRNA". It matches the Rfam family "Bacterial small subunit ribosomal RNA", at positions 338 to 795 of the family's 1533-position model. Lineage: Bacteria; Pseudomonadati; Pseudomonadota; Gammaproteobacteria; Enterobacterales; Enterobacteriaceae. The record is from RNAcentral.
CCUACAGGAGGCUGCAGUGGGGAAUAUUGCACAAUGGGCGCAAGCCUGAUGCAGCCAUGCCGCGUGUGUGAAGAAGGCCUUCGGGUUGUAAAGCACUUUCAGCGGGGAGGAAGGCGGUGAGGUUAAUAACCUCAUCGAUUGACGUUACCCGCAGAAGAAGCACCGGCUAACUCCAUGCCAGCAGCCGCGGUAAUACGGAGGGUGCAAGCGUUAAUCGGAAUUACUGGGCGUAAAGCGCACGCAGGCGGUCUGUCAAGUCGGAUGUGAAAUCCCCGGGCUCAACCUGGGAACUGCAUUCGAAACUGGCAGGCUAGAGUCUUGUAGAGGGGGGUAGAAUUCCAGGUGUAGCGGUGAAAUGCGUAGAGAUCUGGAGGAAUACCGGUGGCGAAGGCGGCCCCCUGGACAAAGACUGACGCUCAGGUGCGAAAGCGUGGGGAGCAAACAGGAUUAGAUACCCGAGUAGUC